CUACUAUUGGUCGAAAGAUCGCACUCCUGUUGGAAGAAGAUGAACAGAAGAGAAUAAGACUUUCGUUUUGUCGAUGUACAAACGGAAUCCUUGUCUCUACAAAUAUUUGUCCACCUACUUUCAAUUGUCAUCAAUCCGGAUACUAAAACAAGUUUUGUCAAGGAUUCCUUUUGACACUGGAAUAAAUGAACUCCUUCUAGAACAAUUAAAAAUAAAAAGCGAUGAAAUGGACGAACUAGAUCGAUAUUGCACUUUAGUAUUCGAUGAAAUAUCCUUAAGUAAAGGUUAUCAUUACGAAGCACAUAAAGAGCAGAUUACUGAAGAUUAUGAAGAUAGAUGAGUUGGGUCGAACUUCUAAAAACUGUUAAUCAUGCGCUCGUUUUUAUGAUUCGUGGCCUGAGAAGAUCUUGAAAGAGAUGGUAUCAAAGUAAAAGUAACAGUUUGCGACCAAGGAAACCACUCAAAGAAGAACCCUAUCCGAAUUGUGUGCAGAGAAUAAGAAGUUUCCAAAGAAGAUGAAAGGCUAAUAAAGAUUCGUUAUUUGCAACUCAACUGUUACAUAAUCAUCAAGUAUCAUUGGUUUAACAAGUUAUUGCAAAAUCAGAACUUGUAUGUCCAAAUAAUGACACAAGUGAUACACAAAAAACAUCAAGAGAAUGUAAAAAUUCUACUGAAGAAAAAGAUAUAACAUAUUACUACAC
RNAcentral lists this long non-coding RNA (701 nucleotides) under Acromyrmex echinatior (Panamanian leafcutter ant). Its description in RNAcentral is "uncharacterized LOC105145777, transcript variant X1". Lineage: Eukaryota; Metazoa; Arthropoda; Insecta; Hymenoptera; Formicidae. The record is from RNAcentral.